AUUUAUCAAAUUAUUAUGAGUUAUGGAUGUUUUACCACGUGGUUUUAAUGUUUUUGUUAGGGGUAGAAACUGAUGAAAAAUGACUGCAAACGAGCCAAAGAAGUGGUACCAUGGGCCCGGGCCUCGACCAGAAAGAAACCCAAUUUUAUAAUAAUUUCUGGGCCCAACACGUCUCAUAUUGUUCCCUAAAUUCUAGAAGUUAUAAACAACACAGACAAGACCUAAUUGAAGGGGAGAGCCGCAUAACAUAAAAUCUAUGGGAGUCAGCCACGAAGGAAGAUUGGAGACAGCAAAAAAAAUUGAGAGGAAAACUAUGGACUGCUGAGGCGAAUUGGAAAGGAAUUAGAAUAUAUAUAUAUAUAUAUAUAUAUAUAUAUAUAUAUAUAUAUAUAUAUAUAUAUAUAUAUAUACCUCAAUCGGCAAGAAGAGAAGAAUCUGGGGGAUUGAGCCAACAACUUGAAGUGGAGCCUAAUUGAAAAAAUUUCAGCCGGCAAAUACAAAAUAGUGGACAAUAUGGACACAUUAAGAAGCUGGACGGCUGGAAUUGUUUUGAAGAAAGCUCUACACAAACUCCAAGAAACAAGUGAAAGGCGUGGAAAACUCAAGGGAGAAUUCGAUUAACUUAAUCUUUCUUUCUUGCUUCUUUAUGUUUUCCAUUAUAAAUUGUAAAAUUGAUGAGGGAGUUUGAAGUACUUUAGGGGAUAACAUUGCGGCCGCCAUUAAUAUACACGUGAAAGCUUAGAAAUUGAGGGAAAUUACUUGGGGCUGCAACAGCAAUAUUAUAUUUGGAGACAAAUUGGAGGCACUUGAGAGUCCCUUUUCAAGUCAAUUAUUUAGGCUGUUGGGGAGGAAUUUGGCUGCCUUGCUGCUGAAAUUAUUUGUAUAAACACAAGAAAUCGAAGCAGAGGAAGCAGACACGUAAACGGUUGCAGUAAAAUUGAAACUAAUUGAAGGAAAUUGGCAACUUUGGGAAGAAAUCACGCUGCAAUCAAUUAGUUUUUCUUAUCCCUUUCUUCUCAUGUUCAUGCUUUAUAAUUUAAUUAUGUCAAUUCUUUCAAUUAUGGAUUAAACUUUAAUCCUAGGGUUGAUGUAGCCUGCUUUAGACAUGUUUUAAUUUCGUUUUAAUUAUUUCAAUUAAUCUUUCCAUUUAUUUAUUUGUGUUGUUGUGCGCAAUGCUUUCAAUUAACUGGCCACUAAUUGCUUGAUUUGGUGUUCUGAAUUUUGGCGCUCGAGAGAGGCAAAUUUAGGCGUGAUCUAAGACAACAUGACCUAGAUUUUGUAGGUUUCGAGAGAAAGUGCGAAUCUUUGAGGCAUGUUUUAAUUAAGAAUCACGUGCUUGAUAAUUUUUAUGUUUUAAUUCGGAAUAGAGAUAUUGGAAUUAGAAUAUAGAAAUAGAUUUUAUUUGGUGCUCGAGAGAGGGAAAUAGAAUCACUUUAGUGUUCUUGCCUAUAAAUUUUGGAAAGAUCGAUAGAAAUAGUUAUACGGGUGAAAAACAUUGUCGAAGGUAUGGUGAAAUCAUUCCCUAGGUAUUCAAAAUUUGAUAAGAAACUUCAUAAUUUGCUCCCAUUUACUUGCGUUGUUCAGUCCAUUUAUUUUAAUUUAAUUUAAAAAUAUCGUUUCUCAUUUUGAUCGUCUAAAUAAAGUGAGGGCUAAAAUAAUUAUAGUACUAAAUUAAUUCGAAUAUCAAUCCCUGUGGGUUCGACAUCCUUCUUCAAAACUAUAUUACAAAACUUGACACCGUACACUUGAGGUAUAAAAUCACGUUGCAUAAAUCGUGUGGCAAGCUUUUGGAGCCAUUGCCGGAGAUUGAUUUAUUCGAAUUCAAUUGAUAUUAUUAUCAAUCAGCAUUCAUUUUACUCUAUAUUUUUAUUUUUACCAUAAUUUUUAUUUUAAGUUACUCUUUUUGUGUCUAUCUUUAAAAGCCUCCUUAUGAUUAUUUUCAGCUGUUUAUGCGAAGGGCGAGAAAUCUAGAUCUACUACCUGUUGAUCCUGAACCAAAACGCACAUUUCGCAUUCUCAGAGGCAUGCAAAGAAACAAACGGGAAGCAAUGGCAGAACAGGAUGCUAGAGUAGCCAAUGAGGAUAACCAACAAAGGGCUAUUCGGGACUACAUAAGCCUGGUUGUCAAUGACAACUAUUCUGGCAUCACACACCCAGCAAUUGCUGCAAACAUUUUCGAAUUGAAGCCAGGGUUGAUACAUAUGGUGCAGCAAAAUCAGUUUGGGGAUGCUGCAAUAGAAGAUCCAAAUGCUCAUCUUGGAUCCUUUUUGGAAAUUUGUGAUACGGUGAAGAUGAAUGGGGUUACUGAAGAUGCAAUUAGACUCCACCUAUUCUCAUUCUCUUUAAGGGAUAAAGCAAAGGCUUGGUUCCAAUCACUACCAUAUGGCUCAAUUACAACUUGGGAUGAUUUGGCUUAGAAAUUCCUCACCAAGUACUUUCCACCUUCUAAAUCAGCUCAACUUGGCGGUGAAAUAAGCCAAUUCAAACAACUCGACUUCGAGCCAUUCUAUGAAGCCUGGGAAAGAUUUAAAGACUUGCUUAGGAGAUGUCCUCAACAUGGGUUCCAGAAAUGGGUGCAAAUUGAGAUAUUUUAUAAUGGGCUAAAUGGCCAGACAAGGACUAUGGUAGAUGCAGCUGCGGGAGGCAUUUUAAUGGCUAAAACAGCAGAGGCUGCAUAUGCUUUAUUGGAUGACAUAGCCACUAACAGUUACCAAUGGCCAAGUGAGAGAUCGGGUGUAAAGAAAGUAGCAGGACUUCAUGAAGUGGAUCCCAUCACUGCACUAGCAGCUCAGGUUGCAUCACUCACAAAUCAGAUAGUCACACUUACCACUCAAGGAAGUCAACAGAAGGUAGAUUCAGUCAUGAGUACUUCUUCUUCACACCAAGAGACAGAGGUUGCAAACGAUCAGGCCCAAUAUGUCAACAGUAGAAACUACAAUCAAAGAGGAAGCUACCAAGCUAACCACUAUCAUCUAGGGCUGAGGAAUCACGAGAACUUGUCAUAUGGCAACAAUAGAAAUACACUUCAACCUCCACCCGGAUUCAACACUCAGAAUUCUGAUGGGAAACCACCAUUGGAAGACAUCCUUGGGACAUUCAUUUCUGAGACAAGAUUGCGCUUCAACAAAGAUGAAUCACGUUUGGAUAAUAUUGACACACAUGUGUCCAACAUGGGAGCCACAAUGAAGAAUCUUGAAGUGCAAAUUGACCAAUUGGCUACCUCAAUGAAAUCUCAGCAAAAAGGAAAAUUUCCAAGUGAUACAGAGGUCAAUCCAAAGGAGCACUGUAAAGCUAUUGUAUUAAGGAGUGGCAAGCAAGUUGGAGAAAGUGAACUCACUGAAGAUAGCAACCCCACACCUGAUAAGGAGAAAGAACAAGUAGUAGAAGAGCAAGAAAAGUAGGCCAAAGGAACAAAUAAGGCCCACAAACCUUACUCUAUAUCCUUCCCUGACAACCUACCAAUUCUCACACCACCACUUCCAUUUCCACAGCGUUUUCAAAAGAAAAAAUUUGAUAAUCAAUUUGCAAGAUUUUUAGAAAUUUUCAAGAAAAUUCACAUUAAUAUUCCUUUUGCAGAUACUUUGGAACAAAUGCCAAAUUACGCAAAGUUUAUGAAUCAAGUGAUGUCAAAGAAGCGAAAAUUGGAGAAAUAUGAAACAAUAAAAUUGACAGAAGAAUGCAGCGCUAUUCUUCAAAAGAAACUUCCUCAGAACAGAAAAGAUCCGGGCAGCUUCACUAUUCCGUGCACCAUUGGAAGCUCUUCCUUCGAAAAGGCCCUUUGUGAUCUAGGAGCAAGCAUCAAUUUAAUGCCGUUAUCAGUAUUCAAGAAGUUAGGCCUCAGGGAGGUCCAGCCAACAACAGUAACUCUACAACUAACUGAUAGGUCCCUCACCUACCUACGAGGAAUUAUUGAAGACGUGUUGGUAAAGGUCGACAAAUUCAUCUUCCCAGCUGAUUUUGUGGUAUUGGAUAUGGAAGAAGAUCAGGAAAUUCCACUGAUUUUAGGCAGACCAUUUUUAGCAACUGGAAGGGCAUUAAUUGAUGUACAAGGGGGACAAUUGACAUUGAGAGUGAAUGAAGAAGAGGUGAGGUUCAACACUUACCGAGCAAUGAAGUACUCAGAUGACAAUGACACUUGCCACAGGAUUGACUUCAUUGAUUCUGCUGUGAGAGAUGAGAAAUUAUGUAUCGAAGAUCCUCUAGAGCAAUGUAUGAUGUUUAGUACAACAAAGGAUGAUAUUAGCACUUUUGGAGAGUACAUCGGAAGCAAGGAUUUGGUUGAUUACAUAUUGGCUCUUGAGUCUACAUCAGUUGUGGAAAACCCAUCACAAUGUGAGGAUAUUCAACAGUCAGAGAAAGCAGAUGACAAAGAAAGCAAUGAAAGCAGUAAGAUUGAACUGAAGCAACUACCAGAUCACCUUCUCUAUGCAUUCCUAGGGGACAAGUCUGCAUUUCCAGUAAUUAUUUCUUCAUCACUCACCAGAGACGAAGAGGAUAGAUUAUUGAAAGUGUUGAGGGAUCAUAAGGCCGCUUUGGGAUGGUCAAUAGCUGAUAUCAAGGGGAUAAGUCCUACAAUCUGCAUGCAUAAAAUCCUCAUGGAAGAGUCUUACAAGCCAUCCAUCGAACAUCAAAGAAGGUUAAACCCAGCAAUGAAAGAAGUGGUUCGAGCAGAGAUUCUAAAGCUAUUGAAGGCAGGAAUCAUUUUUGCCAUUUCAGAUAGUGAAUGGGUCGGCCCAGUGCAAGUGGUACCAAAGAAAGGAGGGAUGACAGUAGUUUAGAAUGACAACAAUGAGCUAAUUCCAAUAAGAACAGUAACUGGCUGGAGGGUGUGCAUUGAUUAUAGGAAAUUGAAUAAGGCAACUAGAAAGGACCACUUCCCACUGCCGUUCAUAGAUCAAAUGUUGGACAGAUUAGCUGGCUACUCUUACUAUUGCUUUCUUGAUGGAUAUUUGGGCUACAACCAGAUUGCUAUAGCACCAGAAGAUCAGGAAAAGACAACUUUCACCUGUCCAUAUGGAACUUUUGCUUACAGACGGAUGCCAUUCGGGUUAUGCAAUACACUGGCCACUUUUCAGAGAUGCAUGAUGGUAAUCUUUGCAGACAUGGUUGAAGAUAUCAUGGAGGUAUUUAUGGAUGACUUUUCGGUGUUCGGUACUUCUUUUGAUAACUGCCUUCAUAAUCUCUCCUUAGUGCUGCAACACUGUGAGGAAAGGAAUUUAGUUCUCAACUGGGAAAAGUGUCAUUUCAUGGUACAAGAAAGUAUUGUGCUAGGCCAUCAUGUUUCGACGAUGGGAUUGGAAGUGGAUAGAGCAAAAAUUGAUACAAUUGAAAAGCUACCACCACCCACCAAUGUCAAAGGCAUUCGAAGUUUCUUAGGGCACGUUGGAUUAUACAGGAGAUUUAUCAAAGACUUCUCAAAAGUAGUAAAACCCCUAUGUAACCUUUUGGAGAAGGACAUAACGUUCGUAUUUGAUGAAGACUGCUUACGGGCUUUUGAAACCAUAAAGGCAAAAUUAGUCACUGUCCCAGUGAUGGUAGCACCAGAUUGGGAUCAGCCAUUUGAGGUUAUGUGUGAUGCUAGUGAUUACGCAGUAGGGGUAGUUUCAGGACAAAGGCAUGAUAAGAUUUUUCGGGCAAUCCACUAUGCCAGCAAAACUCUUAAUGGAGCUCAAUUAAAUUACACAACAAUAGAGAAGGAAAUGCUGGUAGUAGUGUUUGCAUGUGACAAAUUCAAAUCUUACCUCAUUGGCACCAAAGUGAUAAUUUACACGGACCAUGCUGCAAUCCGUUAUCUCUUUCAAAAGAAGGAUGCCAAGCCACGCCUAAUUCGAUGGAUACUGCUACUACAAGAAUUUGAUGUAGAGAUUCGGGAUAAGAAAGGCAGUGAGAAUGUCGUUGCAGACCAUCUCUCAUGAUUGGAGAAUGAAAAGGUGGUGGAUGACAGUCAAAUUCGAGAAACGUUCCCCGACGAGAUCUUGCUAGCUCUAUCAACAAAGAUCCCAUGGUAUGCUGAUUUUGUUAACUAUUUAGUGUCUGGAAGAUUGCCACCUGACUUGACCUUUCAUUAAAAGAAGAAAUUCCUACAUGAUGUCAAGUCAUUUCUGUGGGAUGAUCCAAUCUUGUUCAAAAGGUGUGCUGAUAGAAUAAUUAGGCGGUGUGUCCCUGUGGAAGAAAACAUGUGACCGCUGUCAACGUACUAAAAACAUUUCAAGACAUCAUAAGCUACCAUUAACCAGUAUGCUUGAGGUGGAAUUAUUUGAUGUGUGGGGUAUUGAUUUCAUGGGUCCAUUUCCACCUUCCCUUGGUCAAGAGUAUAUUCUUCUCGCAGUAGAUUAUGUGUCUAAAUGGGUUGAAGCCAUUGCCACACCAACAAAUGAUGCAAAGGUGGUGUUGAAAUUUUUACAGAAAAACAUCUUCACUCGGUUUGGCACACCUAGAGCAAUCGUAAGCAACGGAGGUACACAUUUCUGUAACAAGCUGUUCAAUUCUCUUCUAGCUAAGUAUGAUGUCAAGCACAAGUUGGCAUUGGGUUAUCAUCCACAGUCAAAUGGGCAAGCAGAGGUGUCUAACAGAGAGAUUAAAUAGAUUCUGGAAAAGACAGUGAAUACCAAUCAGAAGGACUGGUCUCUCAAACUAGAUGACGCUCUUUGGGCAUACCAAACAGCAUUUAAAACUCCAAUUGGAAUGUCACCCUACCGUCUGGUAUUCGGGAAAGCUUGUCAUCUAUCGGUAGAAUUGGAGCAUCGAGCUUAUUGGGCUGUGAAGAAAUUGAAUUUAGACAUGAAAUUGGCUGGUCCACAACGCUUGUUGCAGCUUGAUGAAUUGGAGGAAUUUCGGAACGAUGCAUAUGAAAAUGCAAAGAUAUAUAAAGAAUGGACAAAGAUGUGGCAUGAUAAGAGAAUAUUAAGGAGGAAUUUCAAGGCAGGAGAACCAGUUCUUCUAUUCAAUUCUCGCUUGAAACUCUUUCCAGGCAAGCUCAAAUCCCGGUGGUCAGGACCAUUUGUAAUCCGCAAGGUGUUCCCUUAUGGUGCAGUGGAAUUAGUAGGCAAGGAUGGGUCUACCUUUUAGGCAAAUGGGCAAUGCCUCAAACAUUACUAUGGAGAGGAAAACUGGGAUGUGGAAGAAAUUACCCUUAAUGAACCAACUUGAAACCACAUCCACGUCUAGCUAAAGACGUAAAAGAAGCGCUUCUUGGGAGGCAACCCAAGCUUUCAUCUUUAUUUAUUUAUUUUAUUUUUGAAUUUUAGGAUAAUUUAUUUUAUUUCAGAGUUGUUAUUUAGGAAUUCAUCAACCCUACCCGUCCCUUAGAUUUUUGAAAAAUGUUUAGUUAUUGAUGUGUGAGCUAAGUACCACUUGUUCCAUGCGUUUAAUAUCUACAUUGUGAUGUUCCAGGAACAUGACGUCGUAGAUCAAUCAACAAAUAUUGACAAGGAGAGGCUGGAUACAUCUCAAGUUUGGGGGGAACGCUAGAAGAAACAUCCAUCAAAUUCAACAUUAGAGCACCAGACCGUCGUUGGCAAUUCAGAUAAUUCAAGGAAGUCCUCCACUUUUUCGGCAAUGAUUCAGAUAAUUCAGAUAACUCAUUUGUGUGAGUUAGAUAGCCUUGUCGGCAAUGAUGUGUAUUAUUGAGAGCAUGAGUUGGUUUAUGAAUUGUGGACGAGUUAUGUGUUCGAGUUAAAUUUUUGCUUAUUCAUGUGAAACGAAAAAUUAUUUUUGCACGUGAGUUGGUUGUAGCGUUGUGCAUGAGUAGGUUGAUUCAUGUUUAUAGGUUGGAAUAGAAAACUUAGAUGAUAAACCCAAAUAACCUUUAAACAUUAUUAUACCCUUAAACCAAAUAUAGGAUGUUUGGUAGAUUAAGCUGUUGUAGGAAAACUUGGAGAUAAAUGUGGAUUUCGUGUGUGCUAGUUUUUGUGUGGACUGUCUAAGACUAAUGGGAUGAAAAUUGGGUGAAAACCUUAAGUUAAAGGUCAAUUUUCGAGGAUAGGUGUUUAAUAAGGGGCAUUGCACUAAUCAUUGUAUAUAAAAAAAAAAGAUCUCAAUAAGGACAACUUUAAUAAUCUUGUUGUGAAGCAUUUCUUUCUAGCCUUUAUGACUCGAGUGAUUAAGCUUGUAAGAGUUUAAAAUCUGGUGCCCUAAAGUCAUCUGAUUUGGGAGUCAUCGGCCUAAAGCUCGCUAUAGGGGUCAUUUAGAAAGCUUAAGGGGGAGACGUCCGCACAAAGAGUGAUUAAAGAAUAAAUAGAUAUAUAUGUAAAAAAAAAAAAAGAGAAAAAGAAAAAGAAAAAAAAAAUAGAUAUCAAAUGCCUUGAUUAAGCCUCAAACACUUGUUUGAGAGAAUUAGACCUUUGAUAAGGGGUUUGUAACUUGGUUGAUUCCUAGAGGUUGAAGCAGUCAAAAAUAAGAAGAGUCCUCAUUUGUUGAUAAGUUGAACUGUAAUCAGUGAAAUCUAGCCAAACUUGAGCAGUGUAAGAUAUUAGCAUUGAAAAUUAACCUUAGAUUACACCUUGGGAAGAGAAAAGAAAACAAGUUUGGGGGUGUGUGAAUCCCACGAGCGAAGUAAGGAAAUAUUAGACUUUUAAGGUCGGGAAUUGAGUCAACUUAUUAUUGUACAACGUUGUACUUAACUCUCCACACACACACCGAUUUUGCAUUGGAUAGAUGAGAAUUUAACUUUUACAUUAUAGUUUUGAAGUGAUUCAUAAAAUUGACGCUAUGUUUUUAAUCCUAAGAUAGAAAGGCAAGGUGUCUAACAUAAUGUGUCUUUAAAUGAUUUUUUUUGUUUUAGUGUGUUGUGUGCUUGUUAAUUAUUUUCUUUGGUUUGGUGUUUGCUCGAGGACAAGCAAAAUGUUAAGUUUGGAGGUGUUUGAUGAGUGAUUCUUCACUCAUUAAAUUAAUAUCAAUUAAGCUUAUUAUUUAUCGAAUUAUUAUAAGUUAUGAAUGUUUUACCAUGUGGUUUUAAUGUUUUUGUUAGGGGUAGAUACUGAUGAAAAAGGAGUGCAAACGAGCCAAGAAAAGAAGAAGUGGUACCACGGGCCCGGGCCUCGACCAGAAAGAAACCCAAUUUUAUAAUAAUUUCUGGGCCCAACACGUCUCAUAUUGUUUCCAAAAUUCUAGAAGUUAUAAACAACACAGACAAGACCUAAUUGAAGGGGAGAGCCACAUAACAUAAAAUCUGUGGGAGUCACCCACGAAGGAAGAUUGGAGACGGCAAAAAAAAUUGAGAGAAAAACUGUGGGCUGCUGAGGCAAAUUGGAAAGGAAUUAGAAUAUAUAUAUAUAUAUAUAUAUAUAUAUAUACCUAUAUAUAUAUAUAUAUAUAUACCGGCAAGAAGAGAAGAAUCUGGGGGAUUGAGCCAACAACUUGAAGUGGAGUUUAAUUGAAAAAGAUUUCGGCCAGCAAAUACAAAAGAGUGGACAAUCUGGACACAUUAAGAAGCUGGACGGCUGGAAUUGUUUUGAAGAAAGCUCCACACAAACUCCAAGAAACAAGUGAAAGGCGUGGAAAACUCGAGGGAGAAUUCGAUUAAUUUAAUCUUUCUUUCUUGCUUCUUUAUGUUUUCCAUUAUAAAUUGUAAAAUUGAGGAAGAAGUUUGGAGUACUUUAGGGGAUAAAAUUGCAGCUGCCGUUAAUAUACACGUGAAAGCUUAGAAAUUGAGGGAAAUUACUUGGGGCUGCAACAGCAAUAUUUUAUUUGGAGACAAAUUGGAGGCACUUGAGAGUCCCUUUUCAAGUCAAUUAUUUCGGCUGUUGGGGAGGAAUUUGGCUGCCUUGCUGCUGAAAUUAUUUGUAUAAACACAAGAAACCGAAGCAGAGGAAGCAGACACAUAAACGGCUGGAGUAAAAUUGAAACUAAUUGAAGGAAAUUGGCAACUUUGGGAAGAAAUCACGCCGCAAUCAAUUAGUUUUUUCUUAUCCCUUUCUUCUCAUGUUCAUGCUUUAUAACUUAAUUAUGUCAAUUCUUUCAAUUAUGCGUUAAACUUUAAUCCUAUGGUUGAUGUAGCCUGCUUUAGACAUGUUUUAGUUCCGUUUUAAUUAUUUCAAUUAAUCUUUCCGUUUAUUUAUUUGUGUUGUGCGCAAUGCUUUCAAUUAACUGCCCACUAAUUGCUUGAUUUGGUGUUCUAUAUUUUGGCGCUCGAGAGAGGCAAAUUUAGGCGUGAUCUAAGACAACAUAACCUAGAUUUUGUAGGUUUCGAGAGAAAGUGCGAAUCUUUGAGGCAUGUUUUAAUUAAGAAUCAUGUGCUUGAUAAUUUUUAUGUUU
RNAcentral lists this long non-coding RNA (10254 nucleotides) under Olea europaea subsp. europaea. Lineage: Eukaryota; Viridiplantae; Streptophyta; Magnoliopsida; Lamiales; Oleaceae. The record is from RNAcentral.